This 774-nucleotide ribosomal RNA is filed under the name uncultured Neocallimastigales. Its description in RNAcentral is "partial large subunit ribosomal RNA". It matches the Rfam family "Eukaryotic large subunit ribosomal RNA", at positions 24 to 647 of the family's 3401-position model. Lineage: Eukaryota; Fungi; Neocallimastigomycota; Neocallimastigomycetes; Neocallimastigales. The record is from RNAcentral.
UAUCUCUGUAGAGUCUGCAUAUCAAUAAGCGGAGGAAAAGAAACUAACUAGGAUUCCCUUAGUAACGGCGAGUGAAGCGGGAAGAGCUCAAAUUUGAAAUCUUCAAGGUUCUACCUUGACGAAUUGUAGUUUAAAGAAGUGUUUUCUGUUAGAUGAGUAGCAAAAGUUCCUUGGAAUGGGACAUCAUAGAGGGUGAGAAUCCCGUAUUUGGUUAUUCAUUCUAGCUUUGUGAUACACUUUCAAAGAGUCGGAUUGUUUGGGAAUGCAGUCCAAAAUGGGUGGUAAAUUUCAUCUAAAGCUAAAUAUUGGCGAGAGACCGAUAGCGAACAAGUACCGUGAGGGAAAGAUGAAAAGAACUUUGAAAAGAGAGUUAAACAGUACGUGAAAUUGUCAAAAGGGAAGCGUUUGACACCAGUGUUGUUUUUCCGAAAAUCAAUUACGAAUGGCUUGAUUCUGUGUUGUAUUGACCUUAUCAGCUUUCUUCACUUUUUUCGAGUCUUUCUUAAUGCACUUUUCGGUUAACAAGUCAACAUCAAUUUCUUUUGUUGUAAAAGAGUAUUCGGAAGGUGGCUUUCUUUUCGGAGAAAGUGUUUAUAGCCCUAUACUUCUACAAUCGGAGAGAUUGAGGUCUGCAGCGUAGAUCCUUCGGGGUUAGAUACAUUUGUGCUAAGUUAUAGCCUUUCAUAGACAACUUGUUGACUAUGAUCAGUCAUGUAGCUUACUCGCUUAUGCUAUUUUACCUACGCUUAGGAUGUUGACGAGACUGUCGAUCUC